This 720-nucleotide ribosomal RNA is filed under the name Agrococcus jenensis. RNAcentral's name for it is "bacterial SSU rRNA". It matches the Rfam family "Bacterial small subunit ribosomal RNA", at positions 107 to 841 of the family's 1533-position model. Lineage: Bacteria; Bacillati; Actinomycetota; Actinomycetes; Micrococcales; Microbacteriaceae. The record is from RNAcentral.
UGAGUAACACGAUGAGCAAUGUGCCCUUGACUCUGGAAUAAGCGCAUGGAAACGGCGUCUAAUACCGGAUACGACCUUCGGAGGCAUCUCCUGGGGGUGGAAAGAACUUCGGUCAAGGAUCAGCUCACGGCCUAUCAGUUAGUUGGUGAGGUAAUGGCUCACCAAGACGACGACGGGUAGCCGGCCUGAGAGGGUGACCGGCCACACUGGGACUGAGACACGGCCCAGACUCCUACGGGAGGCAGCAGUGGGGAAUAUUGCACAAUGGGCGCAAGCCUGAUGCAGCAACGCCGCGUGAGGGACGACGGCCUUCGGGUUGUAAACCUCUUUUAGCAGGGAAGAAGCGAAAGUGACGGUACCUGCAGAAAAAGCACCGGCUAACUACGUGCCAGCAGCCGCGGUAAUACGUAGGGUGCAAGCGUUGUCCGGAAUUAUUGGGCGUAAAGAGCUCGUAGGCGGUUUGUCACGUCUGCUGUGAAAUCCCGAGGCUCAACCUCGGGCUUGCAGUGGGUACGGGCAGACUAGAGUGCGGUAGGGGAGAUUGGAAUUCCUGGUGUAGCGGUGGAAUGCGCAGAUAUCAGGAGGAACACCGAUGGCGAAGGCAGAUCUCUGGGCCGUAACUGACGCUGAGGAGCGAAAGCAUGGGGGAGCAAACAGGCUUAGAUACCCUGGUAGUCCAUGCCGUAAACGUUGGGAACUAGAUGUGGGGGACCAUUCCAC